GCUUGCUCCCGGAUGUUAGCGGCGGACGGGUGAGUAACACGUGGGUAACCUGCCUGUAAGACUGGGAUAACUCCGGGAAACCGGAGCUAAUACCGGAUAGUUCCUUGAACCGCAUGGUUCAAGGAUGAAAGACGGUUUCGGCUGUCACUUACAGAUGGACCCGCGGCGCAUUAGCUAGUUGGUGAGGUAACGGCUCACCAAGGCGACGAUGCGUAGCCGACCUGAGAGGGUGAUCGGCCACACUGGGACUGAGACACGGCCCAGACUCCUACGGGAGGCAGCAGUAGGGAAUCUUCCGCAAUGGACGAAAGUCUGACGGAGCAACGCCGCGUGAGUGAUGAAGGUUUUCGGAUCGUAAAGCUCUGUUGUUAGGGAAGAACAAGUGCAAGAGUAACUGCUUGCACCUUGACGGUACCUAACCAGAAAGCCACGGCUAACUACGUGCCAGCAGCCGCGGUAAUACGUAGGUGGCAAGCGUUGUCCGGAAUUAUUGGGCGUAAAGGGCUCGCAGGCGGUUUCUUAAGUCUGAUGUGAAAGCCCCCGGCUCAACCGGGGAGGGUCAUUGGAAACUGGGAAACUUGAGUGCAGAAGAGGAGAGUGGAAUUCCACGUGUAGCGGUGAAAUGCGUAGAGAUGUGGAGGAACACCAGUGGCGAAGGCGACUCUCUGGUCUGUAACUGACGCUGAGGAGCGAAAGCGUGGGGAGCGAACAGGAUUAGAUACCCUGGUAGUCCACGCCGUAAACGAUGAGUGCUAAGUGUUAGGGGGUUUCCGCCCCUUAGUGCUGCAGCUAACGCAUUAAGCACUCCGCCUGGGGAGUACGGUCGCAAGACUGAAACUCAAAGGAAUUGACGGGGGCCCGCACAAGCGGUGGAGCAUGUGGUUUAAUUCGAAGCAACGCGAAGAACCUUACCAGGUCUUGACAUCCUCUGACAACCCUAGAGAUAGGGCUUUCCCUUCGGGGACAGAGUGACAGGUGGUGCAUGGUUGUCGUCAGCUCGUGUCGUGAGAUGUUGGGUUAAGUCCCGCAACGAGCGCAACCCUUGAUCUUAGUUGCCAGCAUUCAGUUGGGCACUCUAAGGUGACUGCCGGUGACAAACCGGAGGAAGGUGGGGAUGACGUCAAAUCAUCAUGCCCCUUAUGACCUGGGCUACACACGUGCUACAAUGGACAGAACAAAGGGCUGCGAGACCGCAAAGGUUUAGCCAAAUCCCAACAAAUCUGUUCUCAAGUUCGGAAUCGCAG
RNAcentral lists this ribosomal RNA (1244 nucleotides) under Bacillus pumilus. RNAcentral describes it as "bacterial SSU rRNA". It matches the Rfam family "Bacterial small subunit ribosomal RNA", at positions 78 to 1304 of the family's 1533-position model. The record is from RNAcentral. Lineage: Bacteria; Bacillati; Bacillota; Bacilli; Caryophanales; Bacillaceae.